UAGAAAUGUGAACUUUGCAAGCUACUGGUAGAAACGUGACCUUUGCAAGCUACUGGUAGAAACGUGAACUUUGCAAGCUACCGGUAGAAAUGUGAACAUAGUGGUAAGUAGACCUAAUGUACUUUUUUUCUCAAACUAAUGUGGGCCUACCUAGCGACUUUAGCUAACAUUAUUCUUUCAUUAUCGUGAUUGUGUUUAAGCACAAUUGCUGCUGAUAGACAUGGUAGACAGGAUAGGCUACAUAGAUUGAUGGACCACGUCAGACAAAACAGACAAUAUCAACAGAGGUAAACAGACAAAAUCAACAGACGUAAACAGACUACAUCAACAGAGGUAAACAGACAAACUCAACAGAGGUAAACAGACUAAAUCAACGGAGGUAAACAGACUAAAUCAACAGAGGUAAACAGACUAAAUCAACAGAGGUAAACAGACAAACUCAACAGAGGUAAACAGACUAAAUCAACGGAGGUAAACAGACUAAAUCAACAGAGGUAAACAGACUAAAUCAACAGAGGUAAACAGACUAAAUCAACAGAGGUAAACAGACUAAAUCAACAGAGGUAAACAGACAAGGGAAAGAUAUCCCUCUGUGAUGCAUGAUAAUACUAAUCAACAGAGGUAACAGAAUCAUGACAAUAUCCAUCAUUUUAUUUCCAUUCCUUCCUGCUGCAACACAGCCAAUCAGAUGCCAACGCCUCCUCCGGCUAACUUCCUCCACUGAUGUCUUAAUAUGAUUGACUGUCCUGAUAAACUUCUCUACAUCUGGAAAAAGAUCCUGUAUGUCAAUCUUCUUACCAAAUGAAUCCUCCUAAAGAAACUUGUCAACAUGCUGUUAUCUGUACAGUGAACCUGAAUGUGACUCACCGUGAGAUGUUACAUCCGUCAACUUGUCAAUCUGUUCCAACAUUCCUCUGUCCUCA
This is a long non-coding RNA of Oncorhynchus tshawytscha (Chinook salmon), 923 nucleotides long. The record is from Ensembl. NCBI's taxonomy places the organism in Eukaryota, Metazoa, Chordata, Actinopteri, Salmoniformes, Salmonidae.